This 330-nucleotide ribosomal RNA is filed under the name uncultured eukaryote. RNAcentral describes it as "partial 18S ribosomal RNA". It matches the Rfam family "Eukaryotic small subunit ribosomal RNA", at positions 1470 to 1796 of the family's 1831-position model. The record is from RNAcentral.
CCCUUAGAUGUUCGGGGCCGCACGCGCGCUACAAUGAGUCGAUCAACGUGCGUAUAUUUCCAAGGCCGAAAGGUCGAGGUAAUCCGUUGAACCCGACUCGUGCUAGGGAUAGGGACUUGUAAUUGUUUCCCUUGAACGAGGAAUUCCCAGUAAGCGCAAGUCAUCAGCUUGCGUUGAUUACGUCCCUGCCCUUUGUACACACCGCCCGUCGCUACUACCGAUUGAGUGAUCCGGUGAACAAUUCAGACCGCUGAAGCAGAGCUCCAGGGCUACUGCUUUUCUGGGAAGCUUUGUGAACCUUAUUACUUAGAGGAAGGAGAAGUCGUAACA